Long non-coding RNA from Limulus polyphemus (Atlantic horseshoe crab), 1212 nucleotides. RefSeq lists it as uncharacterized. Lineage: Eukaryota; Metazoa; Arthropoda; Merostomata; Xiphosura; Limulidae. The transcript has 2 exons. The record is from RefSeq and is a predicted model, not a curated record.
UUUUGAAUUACUAAUUUGAAUUAUUCCAACUAUCCAAGUCUCAUGAAAAUAAUCAAUUGAUAAAUUCCACUAACUGCCCAACUUUAAUUUUUGUAUUAAAAUGUUAUUAAUUUGUUUUGAAGACUAAGAUAAUUAAUCUAUGACUAUUUGUUUGAAAUGUAACUCAAGUAGACUUUACCUAAGCCCUAAUUAGCAUAACUUGAUUAUGGAACUAAUAAAUAAUUAAUAUAUGAUGAAGCUUAACUUAUCAGGGUUAAAAGAUUCUCUCAAAGUGUCCAGGAAUUUGUCUUUCAAGUUAGUUAUACAUUACAGAAUAAAUAACCUCUAAACUGAAAUAUAUCAAAUUUGGUUUUUAAGACAAAUCAAGAAAUGGGGAAAACAUGAGUGCUAUGAAUGAAAUAGUCAUUAAUUUAACCCUUCCAUGACUAGUUUAGAACAUACUUUAUCAUUUGUAUUCAGGUAUAUUUUUUCUAUAUCUUUAGCCAAUGAUUCUGCAUAUAGUAUGAUGUUUGUGUAAAUCAAAUGUCCAAAGGGUAUAAGCAUGUAGUACUUCUUUUGCUCAGCUAAAACUUGCAUAUUAAAAUGGUUAGAAACUCUCAUCACUUUGGCCCUGUGUGCAAUUCCCUGAGGGAAGGGUGAGCUCAUGUCAAGAGGUGGUAUAGCUACUUGUACAAAUUGGUAUGAGCUAAGGGUUAUUUCUGGGACAGUCAGUAAAAUAUACUGCACUUUAAUGUUUUUGUUAGAAUUUUGGAAAUAAAACAGAAUUGUCCUUGUCUUGUGGAGACUUGGAUUUAAAUUAUUCUUGACUUUACCCCUCACUCCAGCAGUCAGUUUAGGUAGGUAUUUAGAACAAUUGUGAAUCAAGUGUUGUUUUUAUUUGUUAACUUGUGUUUAUUAUUCCUUUGCUGUUUGUGUUCAAUAUAUCCUUUGUGUAACUUUCCUGGAGUCUGGAUUUUGCAGAUGUUUUUAAGCAUACCAACUGGAUAUCAGUAGACUUGACUACCACAAAAGUACCGAAAAGAUUAAGAACACACAACAGUGUGUCUUUGUUCUUCACCCAGCCUUUGGAGAUCUUCAAAAACAUUUUGCUAUUGAAAAUAAUAGAUAACCAUAGUUCAAAGAACCCACUUUAAAGAUUGCCAGGAUAAAGAAACAAGUUCCUUCUAUUAAAGGUAUGGUAUUCAUAGUAAACACUUAUGAAUUUGAAAUGUA